RNAcentral lists this ribosomal RNA (253 nucleotides) under Croceibacterium sp. Its description in RNAcentral is "partial 16S ribosomal RNA". It matches the Rfam family "Bacterial small subunit ribosomal RNA", at positions 524 to 776 of the family's 1533-position model. Lineage: Bacteria; Pseudomonadati; Pseudomonadota; Alphaproteobacteria; Sphingomonadales; Erythrobacteraceae. RNAcentral also lists the same sequence under 1 other name. The record is from RNAcentral.
UACGGAGGGGGCUAGCGUUGUUCGGAAAUACUGGGCGUAAAGCGAACGUAGGCGGCUUAGCAAGUCAGGGGUGAAAUCCCAGAGCUCAACUCUGGAACUGCCUUUGAAACUGCUUCGCUUGAAUCCUGGAGAGGCGAGUGGAAUUCCGAGUGUAGAGGUGAAAUUCGUAGAUAUUCGGAAGAACACCAGUGGCGAAGGCGACUCGCUGGACAGGUAUUGACGCUGAGGUUCGAAAGCGUGGGGAGCAAACAGG